This 376-nucleotide ribosomal RNA is filed under the name uncultured bacterium. RNAcentral describes it as "bacterial SSU rRNA". It matches the Rfam family "Bacterial small subunit ribosomal RNA", at positions 524 to 898 of the family's 1533-position model. The record is from RNAcentral.
UACGUAGGGGGCGAGCGUUGUCCGGAAUUACUGGGCGUAAAGGGUGCGUAGGCGGCUUUUUAAGUUGGAUGUGAAAUACCCGGGCUUAACUUGGGGGGUGCAUUCAAAACUGGAGAGCUAGAGUUCAGGAGAGGGAAGCGGAAUUCCUAGUGUAGCGGUGAAAUGCGUAGAUAUUAGGAGGAACACCAGUGGCGAAGGCGGCUUUCUGGACUGACACUGACGCUGAUGCACGAAAGCGUGGGGAGCAAACAGGAUUAGAUACCCUGGUAGUCCACGCUGUAAACGAUGAAUACUAGGUGUAGGGGGUAUGAACUCCCCCUGUGCCGUAGCAAACGCAAUAAGUAUUCCGCCUGGGGAGUACGGCCGCAAGGUUGAA